AUGGACGCGGUGGAGUCCUCAUCGCCCUACUCGCCGCCCUCGCUACGCCACAAGCUGCGGACCACCGUCUGCAGCUGCUUCGGCUCGCCUGGCAGCGGCGCGGAGAGGCCGUACACCGGGGGCGGCAGGAGCAGGUGGAGGCGACGCUUCGUCCCCACGGGGGAGUUCAGGUACGACCCGCUCAGCUACGCGCUCAACUUCGACGACGGCAGCAGCGACGACGGCGACGCCAACGCGGAGGACGCCGCCUUCCGGCACCGGAACUUCAGCUCGCGUCUGCCGCCCUCGCCGGUGCCGGCCUCCCGAGCCGUCGCCAUCGCCUGA
RNAcentral lists this ribosomal RNA (324 nucleotides) under Triticum aestivum (bread wheat). Its description in RNAcentral is "partial small subunit ribosomal RNA". Lineage: Eukaryota; Viridiplantae; Streptophyta; Magnoliopsida; Poales; Poaceae. The record is from RNAcentral.